This 513-nucleotide ribosomal RNA is filed under the name uncultured bacterium. Its description in RNAcentral is "bacterial SSU rRNA". It matches the Rfam family "Bacterial small subunit ribosomal RNA", at positions 10 to 523 of the family's 1533-position model. The record is from RNAcentral.
AGUUUGAUCCUGGCUCAGAUUGAACGCUGGCGGCAGGCCUAACACAUGCAAGUCGAGCGGAUGAGAGGAGCUUGCUCCUCAAUUCAGCGGCGGACGGGUGAGUAAUGCCUAGGAAUCUGCCUAGUAGUGGGGGACAACGUUUCGAAAGGAACGCUAAUACCGCAUACGUCCUACGGGAGAAAGUGGGGGAUCUUCGGACCUCACGCUAUUAGAUGAGCCUAGGUCGGAUUAGCUAGUUGGUAGGGUAAAGGCCUACCAAGGCGACGAUCCGUAACUGGUCUGAGAGGAUGAUCAGUCACACUGGAACUGAGACACGGUCCAGACUCCUACGGGAGGCAGCAGUGGGGAAUAUUGGACAAUGGGCGAAAGCCUGAUCCAGCCAUGCCGCGUGCAGGAAGACGGCCCUACGGGUUGUAAACUGCUUUUGUACCGGAAUAAACCUUGAUACGAGUAUCGAGCUGAAUGUACGGUAAGAAUAAGGAUCGGCUAACUCCGUGCCAGCAGCCGCGGUAA